This 2510-nucleotide long non-coding RNA is filed under the name Homo sapiens (human). Its description in RNAcentral is "HSALNT0310362". The record is from RNAcentral. Lineage: Eukaryota; Metazoa; Chordata; Mammalia; Primates; Hominidae.
CCCCAGACCAGGGGCCGGCCGGAGAGAGGGCUCUUUCCUGAGAGGCUGGACUUUCCCACAGGAACAAAGUGGGGCUUGUUAGCCGGGCAUGAAUCUUGGCGUGAAGCGGCCCAGGCCAGGCUCGGCGCUGCCAGGCGGCGGCUCCGCGAUAUCAGGCAAAUUCCGCCUUCCCCACAGCUGGGGCUGACAGCAGGAAGCCCCAGGGAGGCUCCGGACAAAAGCAGAAAAAUGGGCCACGUUUAUUCAUUCACUGACCAGCCCGGGCCUGGCUGGCCCGGGGGCCCUGUCUCCAUGGCUACGGGCGGCCUUCAGCUCUCCUGGUUGGCUCCUCUGUGACCACAGCCCCUCCACUGCCACACACCCCAACACAUAGAGACACAGCAUCAUGAAGGCAGAGGCUGCCUCGGGACGGCUCUGCCCCAGGGAGCGUGGGGCCAUCUGAGCCAAACAGAAUAGAGGGCUUGGACACAGCCCCGGAUGUGAGUUGAGCUCUGAAUGUCAAGACCAGUCCUGGGUGAGGAAACUGAAGCUCUGAGAGCAGUAGCUCCCCUGAGCCGUGCAGCUGGAGAGGGCUGCGCCAACAGCAGAGCUGGGGCUCUUUGCAGUCCCAUUUUCCACUGCUUUGGUCAGGGAGUGAGUCCCCUGAUGUCAUCCGAGGAUAUGAGGCAUCGCUAAAUCUGGCCAUCCCCUGAAGCACCCAGCCUCACCGACUUCCUGAAGCGUGGAUGAACGCUGCUGCCACAAAUGUGCUGUGACAACCGCUGACAAGGAGAAUGGUUCCAAGAAGUGACAAGUUGAAGGUCAUGAUCCUUUUGCUGACACAGAGCCUGGCACAUGGAGGCACCAAAUGCAUGUUAGUCUAGGCACUGUGGAGGAGCUCAGAUUGUGUUUGUUGAUUGACUGAGUGAGCAAAUGAAGAACGACUAAACCAAGCACAAAGCUGGGCGUCCUAAGGUGGAGCUGGGCUAAGGAAAGUGACUGUCUCUAGGGCCUUCACAAUUGAGGCAGGACCUUAUCCACCAUUUGACCAGGGUGAGGAACUGUGCAGGGCACCCAGGUGUGACCCAACCAUGUCCAUUGUUCCUCUCUGUCCCUUUGAUGGACAGCCUGUACCCACGACACUCUUUCCAGAUGCUGCCUGCAUCCUAGUUCCCUGUCCUAUCACCUCUGCAUGGAAAGAUGUGGAGUUGGCCACAUUGAUCCCAACACCAAUGGGAUCACCUGAGGAUGGAUCUGGUGACUGACCUUGUGCCUUCUCACAGUACAGGCUUUGGGAUCCACAGCAACCCAGGCAGAGUUUGUAACAGUGCAGGUUCCCAGGCCCCAUCCCAGACUGCCUGAGUCACUCUGGGCCUGAACCCAGGAAGAGUUAACCAUCUGGAGACUGUAGAUUGUAACAAUUUCCUUGGGUGACUUCCAGGCAGGCUAAAGUGUAAGAAAGGGUGCCAUGAAUCAGCAAAACAGCCAGCACUUCAACUUGCAACCUGAGCAUCCCACAGGGGUCCCAGCCAUCGUAGUGCCAGCUACAUUUGCUGAAGUGUGAGGCCUGGACUGCAGGCAGGCUCCAGGCCAACCCUUCCUUGCAUGACUUGCUCAGGGAUCUGUAUGACAUGCUGGUGCCAUUCUCUCCAUUUUACAGAUGAGGGACCAGAGGCCCAGAGCACUGAAGUACCUAGCUAAAAAGCUGGAACACCAUAUUACCCUGCCUCCCUGACAGCUUUCCUCCAUCCAAGUGGCCCAACUGUGGUUCAGAAAAUACAGCCUCAUUAAAGACAGGUGCUUGAAACCAUGGCCUGGAAGUGGUAAUCUGGUUGAGCUCACUUUGCUGGAUGGUGAAAGAGCCCAGCCUGCCCUGCCCUGCCCUUCCUUCUUUUUCCCUCUCCUCUCUUCUCCUCUCCUCUCCUCUCCUCUCCUCUCCUCUCCUCUCCCCUCCCCUCUCCCCUCCCCUCCUUUCUUUUCUUCUUUUUCCCUUCCUCUCGUCUCCCCCUCCCCUCCCCUCCCCUCCUGUCCCAUUCCCUUCCCUUCCUUUCCCUCCCCUCCCCUCUUCUCCCCUCCUUUCUUUCCUUCCUUCCUUCCUCCCUCCCUCUCUCUCUCUUUCCUAUUUUCUUUCUCUCGUUCUUUCCCGAGUCAUUGAUUCAACAGAACAGCCCACUGUGGUUAUUGGAAUGCACUGGGAGAGACACAAUGUGCUUCCAGCUCCAAAGGAAAGAUGAGAAGAAUCAGAGAACACAGAGGCCAGAAAGGCCUGGCGAGGAGCUCAAACAGGGACCUAUCAGGGCUGGUGUCCGGUGUGAGGGGGUUUGAGCCUCUGAGAGGUCCAGACAAAGCCAUCUUGCGCCUAGGCGCUUGUCUGUAAACGCGGGAUCUUUGCUUAGUGGCUAAGAAUGUGCCUGCUGGGCUGAGUCUAAGACCUGGAGAUGCACCCAGAAAUCAGUGUCUGGUUGCCCUGAAACAUGUGUUGAGAAGGAGAGCCUCAGGGUGGCACUGAUGUUUGGCGGAUAGGUUCAGAG